AUGGCCAGCAAAUGGCGGGUGACAUUGCAGGUAUCUGAGAUGCUGGAUGCCGGGCGCGCCAUGUUCAAGGAGCUCGCCGCCGACUUCGAGGACCACCUCAGCAGGAUCCAAAAGAAGAGGUCGGGGAAGUUGGAGGAGGAGAUCAGGGAGCUGCGCGCCCGCGACGUCGCCAACGAGCAGACACGUGCCAUCCUCCACAACGCCCAACUCCAGCUCUUCCACAUCCACGAGUAG
Molecule: ribosomal RNA, 234 nt
Filed under: Triticum aestivum (bread wheat)
Lineage: Eukaryota; Viridiplantae; Streptophyta; Magnoliopsida; Poales; Poaceae
Description: partial small subunit ribosomal RNA
Source: RNAcentral